ACCUGUAGAGUGAUUAGCACCCUUCUUGGGGGUGCCCCCCUUUGCCACAGACCAGCUGCAGUCGAUGUCGAUCUAGGGUAGGAAGGGGAGAUGUCCUGGGCCGGCGAUGAGAAAAGAACCUCCUCAAGCAAUAUUCAGGUUCCCUCUGAUAAGUCUCAGGGUCUGAUUUAUUUUUAUAUCUUUAAGCAAUAGCUAGGAGGCAUUGGGCGGAACAUGUUUACAUUUUAGGUUGCCUUAGCAAUAUCUAUUGAAGUAAAGGUUAUUUUUGCUAAAAAGAGUAUAUUUUUUCUAAGCUGAUUCAUUUCGUUGAACAUCAUGAAUACAUUUUAAAAAAUUACAAUUGUCCCCUUAUUUUCCCAUACCUAAGCAGAACAGAAGGUAACUUAAUCAAAAUCUCUAUAUCAGCGGGGGUACAAGCAAGAUUUAAUUAAUUAAAUGUCAAACUUGUGGUCACCAGCUGGCCCUUGAGAAACUGCACAAUGGUUAAUAUAGUUGCUAUUAGCUCUCUAUUUUUCUUUACCUCUAUUCAUCUUAACUAAAUGUCAUUUGGGUUCAUAGUCCAUGAGCAGGAGAUAUUUACAGCACUUUGAGAAAUAUUGAGUAACUUGUCUCCUUAAUGUAUUUACCUGUCUUAACAUUCUUUCUUUUCCAGUUGUCCACUAUUUCUUACAUCUAAAAUCUGUCCUUUCAAUCUCUUCAUAAGACCCCUUUAGUAAAAGAAUGUCAGCAACAAGAGAGGGGGUUAUAGUAGUGGGAAAACGGAAGGGGUUUUAGGAGAGGUUUCCUUAGGAGUGGAUGUGGCAAUAGAACUAAGAGAAACUGGAAUUUGGGGACUUGUGAGCCAGAUCAGAUUUCAAUAUAUCAUUUCCAAUUUGCCUCAUGGAGAGUUUGUUGUUAGUCACAAACACAAUGACUCCUGUGACCAGAGUAACGAUUAUAAACAUUAUGGCAAGAAAAAAAUAAAAUAUGAGGGUACGAUGUGUUCCACCCUUUCUUUCCCCCACCUGGAACUUUGUCAAGCAGCAUUGGAGGUUCUUCUCAUCUGAAACAAAGAAUUGAACAAAAAGAGUAAAAACCAGUGGCCAAGUUUAUUUGAGGAAGUAAGUGAAGAGAGAGAGAGAUACUGGCUCUACAGGAAGCCGUUGGACCAAGUACAGUCAAAGGAGAAAAGGACGCCCUGGAGAAAGCCGAGCACGCUCCCAUGAAGAGAGUCACAAUAGCCAGUUCCAAACAGCGCCUGGUUCCUUAUAUGUUGUCCAGAUCUUGAGGAAACCCGAGAGAACUUCUCCCUGAGAGACAGCACUGGGAUCCCACAGAUCAGGCUGAUGUCAGAUCCAGGCCAUCCUGUUGAAACCUGCUCAAGUGCUCACCAGAAGUCCACGUGCAGGGGGUUGGGAACUGUUCUGGGCAUGUCUGGGAUCUUGUAACUAACAGGUCAUGUCUACUUCCUCAGCCAGCUUUGCUGCGCCCUAAUCUAUCUCAGGAACAGGAGCCCUGCCUGGAAUGAAGGCACCUGGCCAAGGAGGUCCUCAGCAGUAGGUUGCAGACAAGCUUGGUCUCCUGACCUGUGCCCGAGCCCUUGCCUUGGACCCUCUUUACCCUUCAGUGUCCCUGCAAGAGUGAAUUUCCUGCCAGCAGGGACCCUGGUCUCAGGCUGUAGCCCAUGGUUGGUGUGGGUUAG
RNAcentral lists this long non-coding RNA (1681 nucleotides) under Heterocephalus glaber (naked mole-rat). RNAcentral describes it as "lncRNA (ENSHGLG00000035383.1)". Lineage: Eukaryota; Metazoa; Chordata; Mammalia; Rodentia; Bathyergidae. The record is from RNAcentral.